RNAcentral lists this ribosomal RNA (250 nucleotides) under uncultured bacterium. Its description in RNAcentral is "partial 16S ribosomal RNA". It matches the Rfam family "Bacterial small subunit ribosomal RNA", at positions 523 to 769 of the family's 1533-position model. The record is from RNAcentral.
AUACGUAGGUGGCGAGCGUUGUCCGGAAUUACUGGGCGUAAAGGAUGCGUAGGUGGAUAUUUAAGUGGGAUGUGAAAUCCCCGGGCUCAACCCGGGAACUGCAUUCCAAACUGGAUGUCUAGAGUGCAGGAGAGGAAAGCGGAAUUCCUAGUGUAGCGGUGAAAUGCGUAGAUAUUAGGAGGAACACCAGUGGCGAAGGCGGCUUUCUGGACUUUUGUAACUGACACUGAGGCAUGAAAGCGUGGGUAGC